RNAcentral lists this transfer RNA (82 nucleotides) under Klebsiella pneumoniae. RNAcentral describes it as "tRNA-Val". Lineage: Bacteria; Pseudomonadati; Pseudomonadota; Gammaproteobacteria; Enterobacterales; Enterobacteriaceae. The record is from RNAcentral.
GGGCGAGGCAAAGCCGAGUCAUCCUGCACGCACCUCCCUUACAAGGAGGGGGUCGGCGGUUCGAUCCCGUCAUCACCCACCA